Manis pentadactyla (Chinese pangolin) is the source of this 2157-nucleotide long non-coding RNA. RefSeq lists it as uncharacterized. The transcript has 3 exons. Lineage: Eukaryota; Metazoa; Chordata; Mammalia; Pholidota; Manidae. The record is from RefSeq and is a predicted model, not a curated record.
GCUGAAGUAAUGCCAGCAAAGGAAAGAACAGAGGAAGCCCAGCAGCCAGCAGAGAAGUCCUCGAAGACCACAGGUUUGGGCAGCUGGUUAAUAGGAAGAGAGCCUCCUCAGCGAUAACACGUGUGUUUAGGAGGAGAGGUGGCAAAGGGGUACUACUGCCCACAGCAAGGAGGGUGUCGGCCAGGUUAAGAGCAGGUAACUGGAGAACUUCUGUAUUACGGUUGGCCAUAUGAAGAAAGUACUAUUUGGUGUAACUAAUAGCACGGGUGAGAACUUUGGAAAUAGUCAUUCAAACAAGCUCCGUUACUUCACAGUAUGAGACAUUUAAGCAAGUGCUCUGAGUGGGCUUGGUAAAUACAUUAUUUAUGCAUGCAUUUAUCUCAUGCAACCCACAAGAGUCCCGAGAAGGCUACUACCAGCCUGAAGAUGAGGAUAUUGGGAACCAGUUCCUCCAGAAAAUUGCCCAGAUCACACAGCAAGCAACUGGCAGAACUGGGAUUCCAGCUCAAAUCAGUACAAUGCCACAGUGCCUUUACAUUACGCUAUGGGUAAAAUUAAUAGUUCAACCCUGAAACAUCUUUGACAAUGAUCUUGCAAUCAGUCCUGAAUACUUUUCUGUGAGGCUCAAUAGCUCAGCAAAACUUAGAGUUCUACAGCCAAUAAGAACUGGAUACACGGAGGAGUUGUCUUAUAAACAGAAGUGUAUCUGAACAGGUGUAUCUGCCUUAAAAUUGAAAAUCAUCAGGAAAUCUCUUAUCCAUUCUUAAUUACAAGUUCAUGCAAAAAACCAACAAAUUAGUGGCCCUCUGAAAGAAGUUAACAGUAAAGAUGUUUACAUGAAGAAACAUUUCUGGGUUGGAUGAAAACAAAGUGAAAAAUGACAAACAGUCACCCACCCUCCCAUGAGCAGGAACACCCAACAUAGAUAAUGACUUUUGGUGCACAGCGCAGAAACCCUUGUCAGCAGUCGGUUCAGCCAAUUUAGGGCACAUCACCUUGGAUUUGGUCUUUCAGAAUGGUAAUUAAAUUGUAGUGAAAAAAAUUUAAGACCCUAAUGGGAGCAAUCCUGGGUCCUAGAGAGGGUUGGGGGAGUGGCGUGAGAAGGGGUAACAGGCUCCACCGCUUUACUAAAAAUGUCCUACAAAGAUUUUCCCAACUGUAGGGCGGCUGUCCCCCUGUUAGGGAAACACCUGCGGGUAAGAGUCUCCAUAAGCAGCCUCGGUGUGAAUUGCUAAAGGACCAUCCACGCCGGCAACAGCCGGUUCUCCUGCAAGACGCAGGGGCCAGGCAGACAAAGCGCGCGCACUGCGGCUCGGGUCCCCUCUCUUGGAGACAGUCUUGGAGACUCUGGGAUCUUUCCUUAACAGGAAGCCCUUAUUUCAUAAAGGGCUCGGUCCCUAGCCCUCCUUCCAGGCCAGGACCGCACCAGAAAACAAAGACGCAGCUUCUGCGCGGUCGGCCAGCAGAGGUGACGAACUGGCGGACUGUGACCCACCCGACCUCCACCUGCCGGACAGGAGACCGCGCCCGGUCCGGCUAGGGCGUGGCCACACCGCCCACGUGCGAGCCGGGGAAACCCGGAGGGGACCCCGCCCAACCAGCCUGCUGCCCCUCGGGGGUCCCGGGCCCGGGCCCGCGCCCGCACACGGCCUCGUCCGGGCUGCUCCUGCAAUGCUGCAGUGAGCGCUGCGGGCCCGGGCCGCUGCCGCGGGGAGCCACCUACACCCCGGGACCGCCCCACGGGCCGGCCGAAGCCUGCGCACCGGGGGAGGACGCCCUCGGGAGGGGACGCCCCGGCUGCCCCGACUUCGCCCGCCCUGCGGCCGAGGGAGCUGGCCCGACCUACCGGCGGCGGCGGCCCUUCUCGGCGGGCGCGCUCACGUGCCGCGCGGAGGGCCCGGCAGCGCUGCGGCAGGGAGAAGACUUCCUGAUACUUGGUAAAACAUAUCUCUACAAUGGAAUACUAUGUAGCUGUAAGAAAGAAUAAGAAAGCUUUGCGUCCUGAUCUGGAAAGAGACCCAAAUAAAAGAAAUAGAACCCCUGGGUGGUUCUCAAGGAACAGCCCCGUGCUCACUCUUGCUGACGGAUGCCACCUGACAAUCCACACGGCUGGACUUACCAUGAGGUUUGAUUAUCGGCAGUAAUUCGAUGCAGACA